This 136-nucleotide ribosomal RNA is filed under the name Oryza environmental sample. RNAcentral describes it as "partial 16S ribosomal RNA". It matches the Rfam family "Bacterial small subunit ribosomal RNA", at positions 355 to 507 of the family's 1533-position model. The record is from RNAcentral. Lineage: Eukaryota; Viridiplantae; Streptophyta; Magnoliopsida; Poales; Poaceae.
UGGGGAAUUUUCCGCAAUGGGCGAAAGCCUGACGGAGCAAUGCCGCGUGGAGGUGGAAGGCCCACGGGUCGUCAAUUCUUUUCUCGGAGAAGAAACAAUGACGGUAUCUGAGGAAUAAGCAUCGGCUAACUCUGUG